Molecule: ribosomal RNA, 439 nt
Filed under: uncultured bacterium
Lineage: Bacteria
Description: partial 16S ribosomal RNA
Rfam family: Bacterial small subunit ribosomal RNA
Source: RNAcentral
CUACGGGUUGCACCAGUGAGGAAUAUUGCACAAUGGGGGGAACCCUGAUGCAGCAACGCCGCGUGGAGGAUGACGCAUUUCGGUGUGUAAACUCCUUUUAUAUGUCAAGAAAAUGACGGUAGCAUAUGAAUAAGCACCGGCUAACUCCGUGCCAGCAGCCACGGUAAUACGGAGGGUGCAAGCGUUACUCGGAAUCACUGGGCGUAAAGGACGCGUAGGCGGGUUGGAAAGUCAGGUGUGAAAUCCUACAGCUUAACUGUAGAACUGCACUUGAAACUUCUAAUCUAGAGUAUGGGAGGGGGAGAUGGAAUUAGUGGUGUAGGGGUAAAAUCCGUAGAUAUCACUAGGAAUACCUAAAGCGAAGGCGAUCUCCUGGAACAUUAUUGACGCUGAGAUGCGAAAGCGUGGGGAGCAAACAGGAUUAGAUACCCCCGUAGUC